RNAcentral lists this small RNA (492 nucleotides) under Pongo abelii (Sumatran orangutan). Its description in RNAcentral is "retained intron". Lineage: Eukaryota; Metazoa; Chordata; Mammalia; Primates; Hominidae. The record is from RNAcentral.
CCGGGCGUUCGCUGGGGAGGAUUUUCCUUGCUGCUGCUUAACUUGGAGGAAUACUACUUUGAACAGCAUAGAGCCAAUCACAUUUUGCACAAGGGCAGUCACCAUGAAAGGAAAAUCAGAGGCUCCUUAAAAAUAUGUUCAAAAUCGGUGAUUUUUGAACCAGAUUCAAUAUCUCAGCCCAUCAUCAAGAUUCCUUUGAGAGACUGUAUAAAAAUAGGAAAGCAUGGAGAAAAUGGAGCCAAUAGACACUUCACAAAGUAUGUCAUUUUCACCACUGUUUAAUUUUACUUCAACCAAAAAGCUGUAUAUAUUUAAUGACUUUUAUCUGUAUUUUAGGGCAAAAUCUGGGGGUAUUUCACUCAUUUUCAGUCAGGUAUAUUUCAUUAAAGAACAUAAUGUUGUGGCACCAUAUAAAAUAGAAAGGGUAAGUAAAGCUUUUCAUGUAUUUCCAGCAAUUUAUAUAGUCAUUUUGAACAAUAAAAUUUUGUGACU